Non-coding RNA from Callithrix jacchus (white-tufted-ear marmoset), 1681 nucleotides. The record is from RefSeq and is a predicted model, not a curated record. NCBI's taxonomy places the organism in Eukaryota, Metazoa, Chordata, Mammalia, Primates, Cebidae.
GUCACUAGAUAUAAAGGUGGACACUGGUUCCUAGAGCUCAGAGGGAUACCUCUAGAGUCACUGAGACAUUAGACCAGCAGUUCCCAACCUUUUUGGCACCAGGGACUGAUUUGGGGGAAGAUAAUUUUUCCAUGGAUGGGGUUGGGGAGGGUUUCAGGAUGAAACUGUUCUGGCUCAGAUCAUCAGGCAUGGGAAGCACAACCUAGAGUGCUUGGUUCACAAGAGGGUUCCUGCUCCUAUGAGAAUCUAAUACUGCCACUGGUCUUAUGGGUAGUGAUGCUCACUCACCUGCCACCCACUCCCUGCUGUGCAGGGGGGUUCCUAACAGGCCACAGACUGGUACUGGUCUGCAGCCCCACUGGGCAAAAUUCUAUUGCUUUUCAACCUAGAUUCUCUUCUGCAAAAUGGAUUUAUGUAUUAUUCUUAACCCUUUUCCUGUUUGCCCUGAGAAUACUCGCUUGGGGAGUACAGUAUUUACCUCAAGAUAACUUUGCCAGAUAAAGAAAUAGCUCACUUUUAUUAUUAUUUUCGCAUCACUCUAGUAUAUAGACUUUGGAAACAAAAGACAUCAUUCUAUUUAGAGUAUCCUGUUUUUGGUACUGGUAUUUCCAUGUGCAAAAUAGAGUCAUUUUCGAUCGCCGAAAAUGUCAAAUCCUAGCAAACGUAGCAUUCCUAUGAGUGAUGUUAACACCAUUCUCAAAGAAUUGGCUGAAGAUUCAUUCAAUGAAUCCGAUUUUUCUGAAAUAGAUGAUUCUGACAAUUCAGAGGAUUCUGAUGUUAGUUCUGUUUACAAAUAACUCUAAGAACAGUGUUUAUAUUUUAUUUUCACACUGAAAAUCAGUCAGCUUUGCUUCAGCCUCAAAGAGUGUGUUUCUGUAAAAUUAAAAGAGCACUUGUAGAGCUGCAUGGCUUUUUUCUCAACUGGGAGGAAGGUUAACUGGUUUCUAAAGCAUUAGAAGAACAUUUUGAAGCAUGUAUUUCCUAAAUAGGUAUCCUCAGGAGCAGUGGCUGCUGAGGAUUCAGACACUGUAUCCCAGAACAGUGUCUGGGUAUGGUCUGGAGGAACAUUUAUACCAAGGAAUCAGAGCUGGAAGGGUGUGGUGAGCCCAGCCCACCAGGUCCUGACUUUGCAGUAAUAACCUUUCUGGCAGAAUGACUUUACAACUUAACCAGGAAACCCAAGAGCUCCUCAGAUAGGCUCUUCAACAGCCCAAAGUAUCAUUCUCAGAUAGGGGCACCCAGGGUAAGGGUAUUAGCCAAAGAUCCCAGGAUGGGCAGCUAGCCCAUGUUUAAAUACAGGUCUCCAAUGCAUGGAUGUCACGGCAUGUGUUCUACAACCCCCAGAGUCCAUGCAAGGUGCCUUGUAGAAACCUUUGGUCAGCCUCAUUUCUGCUAAAACAGCCAUCUUCAAGACAGCCCCUGAAGAGACCAACUCAGGUCCUGCCCUGCUGUCCUUUGCUGAAGAUGAGGAACAGGCUCUUGGGCUAAGGUUCAGGGUAGAGCACAAGGGACCAGAGAAGCUCCUGGAGUUGGCUGGGUGAGAGGGCUCUCCAUUUGCUGCUUGUAGUAGCCUGCCUGCUAACUGAUUUCUUCUCCCUAGUUGCAGCCCUGCCCUGGUCUGAUGCCCCAACUCUGCCUUUGUUGUUCCCUCCCACCUCCCUAUUAAAUGUUGUGUACAGAA